GCGCGUUUCGUCUACAUAAGACUCAUCAGUGAAGCUCAUAUCAAAAUACUUGUAAAUCCAAAAAAGUACAAAGUUGAAGAGCAUUGAGGAUCCAAAAUUCCAAAAAGUUUUGCCACAUACGGCUAAAGUAAUCUAUACCUGGGAUAAGAAAAUCAGAGAUACAGUGUUAAACACUGUUUGAUUUAUUGUGACAUCACAAAAAAGUGUGAGUAACAAUUUUUGUUAUAUUUAUUGUAAUUCUCCACGCUCAAUUUGGUUGUAUUAAUUAAGUUCUUGUUUUGUUGUGAUUUAUUACUGAAAAUAAGCA
This 307-nucleotide long non-coding RNA is filed under the name Mytilus galloprovincialis (Mediterranean mussel). Lineage: Eukaryota; Metazoa; Mollusca; Bivalvia; Mytilida; Mytilidae. The record is from RNAcentral.